Molecule: ribosomal RNA, 2552 nt
Filed under: Enterobacter hormaechei
Lineage: Bacteria; Pseudomonadati; Pseudomonadota; Gammaproteobacteria; Enterobacterales; Enterobacteriaceae
Description: 23S ribosomal RNA
Rfam family: Bacterial large subunit ribosomal RNA
Source: RNAcentral
UGCUGUGAACUCGAAGAGUAGGGCGGGACACGUGGUAUCCUGUCUGAAUAUGGGGGGACCAUCCUCCAAGGCUAAAUACUCCUGACUGACCGAUAGUGAACCAGUACCGUGAGGGAAAGGCGAAAAGAACCCCGGCGAGGGGAGUGAAAAAGAACCUGAAACCGUGUACGUACAAGCAGUGGGAGCCUCUUUAUGGGGUGACUGCGUACCUUUUGUAUAAUGGGUCAGCGACUUAUAUUCUGUAGCAAGGUUAACCGUAUAGGGGAGCCGAAGGGAAACCGAGUCUUAACUGGGCGUUAAGUUGCAGGGUAUAGACCCGAAACCCGGUGAUCUAGCCAUGGGCAGGUUGAAGGUUGGGUAACACUAACUGGAGGACCGAACCGACUAAUGUUGAAAAAUUAGCGGAUGACCUGUGGCUGGGGGUGAAAGGCCAAUCAAACCGGGAGAUAGCUGGUUCUCCCCGAAAGCUAUUUAGGUAGCGCCUCGUGAAUUCAUCUUCGGGGGUAGAGCACUGUUUCGGCUAGGGGGCCAUCCCGGCUUACCAACCCGAUGCAAACUACGAAUACCGAAGAAUGUUAUCACGGGAGACACACGGCGGGUGCUAACGUCCGUCGUGAAGAGGGAAACAACCCAGACCGCCAGCUAAGGUCCCAAAGUCAUGGUUAAGUGGGAAACGAUGUGGGAAGGCACAGACAGCCAGGAUGUUGGCUUAGAAGCAGCCAUCAUUUAAAGAAAGCGUAAUAGCUCACUGGUCGAGUCGGCCUGCGCGGAAGAUGUAACGGGGCUAAACCAUGCACCGAAGCUGCGGCAGCGACACUAUGUGUUGUUGGGUAGGGGAGCGUUCUGUAAGCCGUUGAAGGUGUGCUGUGAGGCAUGCUGGAGGUAUCAGAAGUGCGAAUGCUGACAUAAGUAACGAUAAAGCGGGUGAAAAGCCCGCUCGCCGGAAGACCAAGGGUUCCUGUCCAACGUUAAUCGGGGCAGGGUGAGUCGACCCCUAAGGCGAGGCCGAAAGGCGUAGUCGAUGGGAAACAGGUUAAUAUUCCUGUACUUGGUGUUACUGCGAAGGGGGGACGGAGAAGGCUAUGUCAGCCGGGCGACGGUUGUCCCGGUUUAAGCAUGUAGGCGGAGGUUCCAGGUAAAUCCGGUACCUUAUUAACGCUGAGGUGUGAUGACGAGGCACUACGGUGCUGAAGUGAUAAAUGCCCUGCUUCCAGGAAAAGCCUCUAAGCAUCAGGUAACACGAAAUCGUACCCCAAACCGACACAGGUGGUCAGGUAGAGAAUACCAAGGCGCUUGAGAGAACUCGGGUGAAGGAACUAGGCAAAAUGGUGCCGUAACUUCGGGAGAAGGCACGCUGAUGUGUAGGUGAAGCCCCUGCGGGCGGAGCUGAAAUCAGUCGAAGAUACCAGCUGGCUGCAACUGUUUAUUAAAAACACAGCACUGUGCAAACACGAAAGUGGACGUAUACGGUGUGACGCCUGCCCGGUGCCGGAAGGUUAAUUGAUGGGGUUAGCGGCAACGCGAAGCUCUUGAUCGAAGCCCCGGUAAACGGCGGCCGUAACUAUAACGGUCCUAAGGUAGCGAAAUUCCUUGUCGGGUAAGUUCCGACCUGCACGAAUGGCGUAAUGAUGGCCAGGCUGUCUCCACCCGAGACUCAGUGAAAUUGAACUCGCUGUGAAGAUGCAGUGUACCCGCGGCAAGACGGAAAGACCCCGUGAACCUUUACUAUAGCUUGACACUGAACACUGGUCCUUGAUGUGUAGGAUAGGUGGGAGGCUUUGAAGCGUGGACGCCAGUCUGCGUGGAGCCAACCUUGAAAUACCACCCUUUAAUGGCUGGUGUUCUAACGUGGACCCGUUACCCGGGUUGCGGACAGUGUCUGGUGGGUAGUUUGACUGGGGCGGUCUCCUCCCAAAGAGUAACGGAGGAGCACGAAGGUUGGCUAAUCCUGGUCGGACAUCAGGAGGUUAGUGCAAUGGCAUAAGCCAGCUUGACUGCGAGCGUGACGGCGCGAGCAGGUGCGAAAGCAGGUCAUAGUGAUCCGGUGGUUCUGAAUGGAAGGGCCAUCGCUCAACGGAUAAAAGGUACUCCGGGGAUAACAGGCUGAUACCGCCCAAGAGUUCAUAUCGACGGCGGUGUUUGGCACCUCGAUGUCGGCUCAUCACAUCCUGGGGCUGAAGUAGGUCCCAAGGGUAUGGCUGUUCGCCAUUUAAAGUGGUACGCGAGCUGGGUUUAGAACGUCGUGAGACAGUUCGGUCCCUAUCUGCCGUGGGCGCUGGAGAAUUGAGGGGGGCUGCUCCUAGUACGAGAGGACCGGAGUGGACGCAUCACUGGUGUUCGGGUUGUCAUGCCAAUGGCACUGCCCGGUAGCUAAAUGCGGAAGAGAUAAGUGCUGAAAGCAUCUAAGCACGAAACUUGCCCCGAGAUGAGUUCUCCCUGAGACUUUAAGUCUCCUGAAGGAACGUUGAAGACGACGACGUUGAUAGGUCGGGUGUGUAAGCGCAGCGAUGCGUUGAGCUAACCGAUACUAAUGAACCGUGAGGCUUAACCUU